This 323-nucleotide unclassified non-coding RNA is filed under the name uncultured fungus. Its description in RNAcentral is "partial contains small subunit ribosomal RNA, internal transcribed spacer 1, and 5.8S ribosomal RNA". The stretch from base 1 to 73 matches the Rfam family "Eukaryotic small subunit ribosomal RNA", at positions 1759 to 1831 of the family's 1831-position model. Lineage: Eukaryota; Fungi. The record is from RNAcentral.
UCAAACUUGGUCAUUUAGAGGAAGUAAAAGUCGUAACAAGGUUUCCGUAGGUGAACCUGCGGAAGGAUCAUUACCAAAACGACUGCAAACCCGGCUUAGGUCGCGGUGCGCUUCAACCCUUUGUGAACCAAAAAACCUUUUUUCGCUUCGGUUAGCAGGGAGCUGGCGCGGGUAAAACCGCGGUUCGCUUUCGUAAGCCUGCCGGUGGCAACCAAACAAAAACUUGCUGUUAAAAAAAUUGUCUGAUAACGAAUUUUUCGAAUGAAAAAAUCAAAACUUUCAACAACGGAUCUCUUGGUUCUCGCAUCGAUGAAGAACGCAGC